Ctenopharyngodon idella (grass carp) is the source of this 9159-nucleotide long non-coding RNA. RefSeq lists it as uncharacterized. The record is from RefSeq and is a predicted model, not a curated record. The transcript has 4 exons. Lineage: Eukaryota; Metazoa; Chordata; Actinopteri; Cypriniformes; Xenocyprididae.
ACCCUAGCAACCGAGUGUCGAGUUUUGCCACUGCAGGCACCAUUCACAUUUUCUUCAGGAAAUGUACAUUCUAGUUCUUCUUCUGAUUCUUCUUCUGGACAAAACUUUGGCGCGUAACUCGUCCCGCACCGUUUGUCAUAGACCCAUAAAUGAGACAUCGAAUUGUGCGGUUUUUUGUGGACACCAGUGCUAUGACUUUUAUAAGCGAUCGGGUGUACGAUAUUCGCCGGCGGGCGAAAAAGUAGCCGAAAAAGUCCCAUAGACUUUGCAUUGCGACAAACUUUGACGAGUCAUAGCUCCUAACGAGAAUUUUGUAGAAACAUGUUGGUUGGGGGCCAAGAUGGCGUCGUCAUAGGAGGGCAUGUAAGUGUGGGCUGCUAAGGUGAUGUGGUGAAACAACUUAUUUGUUACCACUAUUCUCAUUUAAUUUGCACGGACAACUUAUCUACAGCACAUAUAUCUGUGAAUUAUAUGGGUAAAUCUAAAAGAAAAACGAAAGGAAUGCAAAAUCUUAACGUAACUUCAAACUGAGUUUCUGACACAAACAAAAGUGAACGCUCAGAACUCAGCAGCACUAACCUCAAAACCAUGGACGUCACGAGGAGCGAGGGUGAAGCAAUAGAGGUGUAUGAUUCAACGCCAAUUUUUGAUGAGGGGGCUCUUGGUACUCCCUUUCCUGAAACUCCUGUGAAACCGUUGGCCAAAAAAACAAACGUCAGGAAGAAAGAUGGCCAGAAGGAAGCGAUGGAAAUGCGAGUAUACUAUCUGCAAUACGAGAACUCUCUGUAAAACAUGAUGAAACUUUCAGCGAAGCAAUGAAAUGCCUUGAUGGUGAGAUAAAAACUUUGAAAGAGGAAAAAAAAAUCCCUUAGAGCCGGUCUGUAUGAGUGCAGACGUUAUAGCUGGAGGUGGUUGCUCAAGUUGCACGGGGUCAAAGAAAGAGCAGGGGAGGAUGUCAGGAGUGUGGUAAUUGACAUCUUCGGGAAAAUGGCACCAGAUAUUCGAGACAGCUUAAAUGACUGCGUGGAUAUAGCUCAUCGACUGGUUCCGGCAAGGGAUGACGGAAAGGCAAGAGCUAUCAUUGUCCUGUUCUCCUUCCGCCGGGUGCGAGAAGGCAUCUGGCGGGCCGCAAGAAGAUGCAAGUACCUGGAAGACAACGGCCUGCAUCUUACAGAACCACUAUCUCCAGAAGACAGGACAGCGAGGGAGAAACUCUGGCCUCUAGUUAAAGCAGCUAGGGAUGCUGGUAAGAAGGCUUCCUUCCGCCCCUCGUUCACGUUGAUUGAUGGAAAGAAACACUUCUUCUCGGAUGUAAAGUAGUGUUGACUUUGUUCGUUGUUGACUCUUUGAUUAAUAAGCAAUGCAAUAGUUUUAUAGUUACAUAACGUUGACUUAACAUUGACCACUUAUUAGGUUACCUGUUUAGUUGUUUACUUUUUUUUUAUAUUUAUUUAUUCACUUUUAUUUAUUUACCUCUAUUUUUUAUUUAUUAAUACUAUUUUUGUUAUUCUUUCCUUUUCUUUUAUUUAAGCUUUUUAUUUUCUUCUUCUUAUAAUUAUUAUUGAUAAAGUGAACUCAGAUGUGUGCAUUUUUUCUUGGCACUUUAUUUCUUUGUUUGUUAAAAGGGUACAUCGUGCUGUAUUUGCACAGUGUUUAAGUUGUUCUACAAGUUGUUAGCCACCUCUCCCUUGUUGUUUGAAUUAAGUAUUUCUUAAAUUCUUGGGGGUUUUCUCAUCUGUUGUGAAUUUUAAGAACAUUUUUCCUUUCAGUUUCCAGGUUGUUCAUGUUUAUUUGUUUUAAUGGAUUAUACGUUUAGGUCUUUGUCUGUUCUGUCUCUAAAUGUCAAGGGAUUACAUGAUGUGGUUAAAAGGAAAGCAAUUUUUUUACUUUGUAAGAGAAGCGAUGCAGAUUUUAUUUUUCUACAAGAAACUCACUCUGAAGAUGCAGAUGUAAAAUUUUGGAAGACACAAUGGGGAAAUACGAUUUUUGCUAGUCAUAGCAGUACUCAUUCUGCAGGGGUCAUGACUCUCAUACAUAAAUUUAAAGGGGAUAUUCUAAAAGUGAUGGAAUCAAAAGAUGGCAGGUGGAUUACAAUGGUUAUUAGGCAAGACAACACUCUUUAUAUUUUAUGCAACAUCUAUGGGUUUAAUUCUCACUCCUCUAAUAAGAUUCUUUUUUCUCAAAUCUCUGCUAAAGUCAAAGAACUACUUACUGAAUAUAAAGGUUAUUAUGUUAUUUUAGGUGGUGACUAUGAUGAGUGUGCACUCAAAAAAAUGAAUCAUGGCAUAGUUUAAAAUUAUGUAUUUACAUCCUUCACUCAAUCGUGUUUUGAAUGAUUCAGUGUUUUGAACAAAUCGUUUGAGUCAAAGAUUCAAUGACCCAUUCACAAACAUCUGUCUCAUUCUUGAUGAAUCGGCCGUUUGAACAAAUCGUGAAUGAACGACUCAAUGACUCGCUUAAUAAAACCGCUUAUCACCUGCAUUUGCGCUCACUAUCGACAAACCAAUCAAAUUUGUUCAAAACUUUUUUUUUAAAUCAGUCCAAACACAUUUUAAUUUUAUUCAGGAGUUAUGUACAUACAAAACUAUAAUUUUUUAUGACAGUAGUUUAGUGAUAAAAAAAAUUAGCAAAUUGUUUUUUUUUUUUCCUCCCAUCCUGUAGCCUAAGUUUGAAACAAAUGAGUGUGAACAAGUUUAUUUUUAGUUUGAAGUAUUCUUUUAAUAGUUUAAAAUCAAUGUAUUAUGUUAAUAAUUAAUAGUAGCAGCAGAUGUAUUUACAGUACAGUAACAAUUUAGUAGUUACAGUAAAAAAAAGCCUAAAAAAUAUUUUUGUCUAAUAUUUUGCAAUAACUGAUAUUUUGUCUUUUGUCUUCACAGACAUGUGAAAUUGGCCUUUUAAAUUGUGACAUUUCAUUAUCUACAUGUACUGCAGGUUACCUUAAGGUAACCUGCAGUACAUGUAGAUGUACCUGAAUGUAGUUGCAGUAAAACAAGUAUAAAUUAUUUUUAACUAACUGAUAUUUUUCUUUUGUUUUUGUUUACAGAUAUGUGAAUGUGGCCUUGUAAAGUGUGUGACACUUCAUUAUCUUCCCAGUACGAGUUGCUGAAACAUUUUAGGCUGAAACAUUUCCAUUACGGUCGCAACUGCAGGUAUCCUUGUCCAUAUGCAGAUUGCCCCUGCACAUUCACAAGGUGGAAGACCCUUCUGAGCCACACAUAUCAAACACACAGGAAGUCAACAACAACACACACUCAGUUAACUACAUUCUUUUGUCAGGCAUUUGGAUGUAAGGAACUGUCAACUGAGAAGGAAUACUUUGCUCAUGUAAAUCAUCACCUUAAGCAGUAUGAAACCAUAACUUGCAUGUUUGAAAGAUGUAUGUUUGAGACAAACGUAUAUGGUACGUUUAACUCGCAUAAAAAUCGUAAACAUAAUCCCCACACUCUAAAUGAUUUUAAGGCUGGUGUUGUGAAACUCGCUGUUCAGUCUGAUGAAUCUGGUACUCCUGUAGAUGAUAGCCUCUCAUCUUCUGCGGACAUAGAUUUUGUUACUCUGACAGAUGCAGAUAGUGAGAAAGAUACUUCAGAGAACCUUCCAAAAAUAGUAGAACAAAAAAUAGCUUCAAUUCUACUUAAGUUAGAAAGCAUAUUUUAUGUUCCCUCUACGACCAUUGAUGAACUACUUGAAGAAUUACACUUCAUCUUAAGUACUGUGUCUGUGCCUGUAAGUUACAGCAGUCUUUCUGAUUUUUUUUUAAAAACAAAGACCUAGAAGUUGAUAGUUUAAUUCUUAAGGAACUAUCUGAUGUACUCUGUAAAUCCAAUCCUUUGGUAAAAGCAAUAGGGAAAGAUGGUCCACUUGCUACAGAUUAUAAACGAAAGCAGUACUUUAAGGAACUGUUAAAUAUUGUUGAGCCUGUGGAGUUUAUUUUGGACCAAGAAAAGAGCAGGACUUUUCAGUAUAUACCAUUACUGCAGUCUUUGCAGCAGCUACUUGAUUGUACUGCAGUGUUAAAAAGUGUCAUCAGUAGCCACAGAACACAGGAAAAUCUUCUUGAUAACCAGCAGUAUCGCUCUAUUAGAGAUGGUGUGUACUUCAAGGACAACACUUUCCUGUCAGGUGAUGAGUUGCGAAUUUGUUUAACUUUAUACAUAGAUGAUUUUGAGCUAUGUAACCCCCUGGGUGCGUCUUGAAAAAAAAACACAAAUUGUGUGGUGUUUACUGGAUUCUAAAUAACUUACCGCCAGGCUCUCAUUCAACACUCUCUUCAAUUUUUUUUGAGUGUUUUGUGCAAGAGUGACGAUGUAAAGGUAUAUGGCUACAGACAAAUAUUAGAGCCACUUCUACAAGACCUUUGUAAUUUGGAAGAGCAUGGUGUGUUCAUCUCACAACUUGGCAAGUUUGUCAAAGGAACAGUCCAUUGUGUUGUAGCGGAUAAUUUGGGAGCCCACGGAUUGGCUGGUUUUGUGGAGAGCUUCUCCGGACAGUAUGUUUGUCGAUUUUGUACCGCUCAGAAAAUAGAAAUUCAGGUGAAGGACGUUCAGUCAGGUGAUUUUUUUUUUUUUUUUUUUUUUUUGCUGCGAACAAAAGAACUGCAUGAAGCACAUGUAAAGUCUGCAAACGAAACUGACACAAGUUGCUUUGGAGUAAAAAGAGCUUGUGUUUUGACAGAAAAUCUUCACCACUUUCAUGUUUGCACAGGCUACCCCCCAGACACAGUCCACGAUUUAUUUGAGGGUAUUGUCCCUCAUGAACUGGCACUGUGUUUGAGUGUUCUCAUCUCUAAGAAGUACUUAAUUCUUGAAUAUCUUUAUCACGCAAAUCCUCAAAUUUCCUUACAAGUGGCAUGACAGAAAAAAUCGACCUCACAUCAUACCAAACAGCUAUUCAUGCAAGAAGACAAUAGGUGGCAACGCUCACGAGAACUGGAAUUUAAUACUUUGCUUCCGUUUCUUGUAGGGGUCUUGGUACCAGAGGAUGAGCUUGCUUGGCAAGUGUUACUAGAUCUAAAGGAAAUUGUGGAAUUAGCUGUGGCACUUGUUCAUACUGACGAGACAGUUGCCUAUCUUGAUGUGAAGUCAAGUUUGUAGUUACAAAUGUCUCCACAGUGCCGGUUGAUGUGUUGAAUAAAGAAGUUGUAUUGGCUCUCCGGCAGAAGUAUCCAGAUAUCAGUCAAGUUAAUCUUGCAAAAAGUGUCACCGCAAGAGGAAUUAACUACCACAAUGGAAUGAUAGUUGCAUGUGGUUCAACUUCUGGAAUGCCUGAAUUUGCAGAAGUUCUCCAAAUGUGCGUAAGGGGAGAUGAGCUAAGUUUUAUUGUUCGUUUAUUGUGUGCUUGGUAUCAGGACCACUUCAGAGCAUUUGAGUUGACUUCUUCACCAGGGAAAGAAGUUGCCCUGGUUCAUCUUGAGGAACUGGCAGAUUUUUAUCCACUUGUGGCCUACACAGUUGGUUCCAAACGUUUGGUAACACUAAAGAGACACAUCGUUGUCAAAGAUCAAUAAAGCAGGAUGGCAGCACCAGCUAUCUUCAGAGUCCUUUUUGGAUGUGAAGAUGAUGCACGAAAACUAACCAUUUCAUCCGGAAUGCCGACAUCUGUGGAUCACUUGGCUCUUAAAAUUAAGACUGUCUUUGGAGUAACAGAGCCAUUUAGGCUUCAAUACAAAGAUGCAGAGUUUGGAAACAAAUUUAUGAGCCUCUCAUCAAUUUCAGACAUUCAAGAUCGCAGUACUUUGAAAGUGGUAUACUUACCUUGUGAGUAUACCAGCUCUGUAAUACCACCAGCUCCACCCACUACAGAUACCUGCUCCACAAUCCCAAUGACUCACAGUAAUGCAUCUACCAGCUCCUCGCAGCAAGAACCAAAUGAUUCGGGAUCUGUUAGCUCCUGUAGCAGCAAUGAUUCCAUUCUGUUGUCAUCUCCUGAGUCCCGGUCUUGCACUUGGCCUAAGGUCUUUGUAGUGCCACGUUUUUCAUAUUGUGCUGAGAUACAGCUUCAGAAUGGAAAUGAUGAAUUCCAUGCAAAUGGAACUCUUCUAUCUCUUACCCCAAAACUCAGAUCCGAUAUACUUGAAGGCCUUGCAGAAGAAAUAAUUAAGUAUACAACGUAUCCAAAGGAUGAUCAAUUUGAAAAAGUAGCUGAGGCCUUAAUACAAACCCAUCCAUGUUUGCGUGAGAAAGGAACUCGCACUGGGUGGUGUGGAUGGAAGCACUACAUUAAAAUCAAGAUGAUGAACUUCCGGACCAAACUCGGCCGAGCUGGACACCCAGAAGUCACCGUCAACUCGCUUAAAAACAAGCAGAAAGGCCAGGGGAAGCCAGCUGCAAACAAAAAAGCCCCGGAAGGCCGAGGUUAAUUUCUGUCCAAAACAUCCAAGUGGUGAAACCACAGAGAGCCUGGAGGUAGAACGGGUUGCUCUAUUGAGUGAGAUUAAAAAAAAGAAUAACGAGACUGUGAUUAAGGAAAAGAUGCAUUGUACCUUCUCAUACCGGCGACAAGAAAUUCUUCAGGAACCAAUGAUAAUAGAGGUCCGAAAUCAAUGGCCUGCAAUGUUUCAAAUUGGAGAAGUAAACUUGGAGUUUAUGCGCAUCACUACUGUUCCUCUGAUCUCCAAAUUUAUUGGUCAGCUUGACAAGUGCUCUGAUGAUCUGGUAAAGGUUUUCCGUCACAAGGGAGGAUGUGCAGGACAAAAAAUCCGUACCAUAAUGGCACUGACAGCUCAAGUAAGUGUGUUGUUAAUGUAUUAUACAUUCCAUUGAUUACUCUUCCUUGACAGGACUUCAGAAACCCCCAUCACUCUCGUUCAAACGGAGAUAUCUGUUCCUCCAUUGACAGUCGACACAACUACCACUUAGAUUCUUCAAAAAGUUUAUAAAAAUAUUAUAGAGAAUAAACUAUUUGAAUUGAAAUGUUUAGUCCAAAUUUCUAUAGAGACUUGAUUGCUUUAUAAGAUUCAUAAAUUAAAGCAAAUUAAAUUUAAGCAAAAAUUUAAAAAGUACAUUAGUAUAUGCUUGAUGUGCAAGAACCACUGAGGCUCUUUCGUGUGUUACACAGCACAUUUGAGCGUCCUCGUGUCGUCAAAAUGGACUAAACCACUGUAAUUAGUUUUACAGUUUCUUUAUGCACACUUUGGAGUGUUAAAGUGGUAAUUGCAUGGAGUGUCAAUGGAUAGAAUUGUUUCAAAUUCCAUUUAAAAUGCCCACAUUUGUGACCCUGCCUGGAAAAACCCAUCUAAAGUAAUUUUUUUGUGAUUUACUGUUUUUGGCAUAAAAUGUAUACACUGUCCGGAGUAUACAUAAAGAAUGUUCUGUGAAAAUAUAACCUUGAUAUGUUUAAUAUCGACUGAGUAAGGUCAUGUCAUAAAUUGAAAUUAUAGUGAAAUUAAUAGGUGAAGUCAAACUUUGAUGCUCGUUACCUCAGAAUUAGAAUUUUACACUUUAGCUUGGAUUCCACAGACAGGGUGACAUUUGUGUUUCGAAGAAGAACAUUAUGAUCUCAUUUAAAAUCUCCAUUUGUUUAGAAUAAGGCCAAAAGAAUUUGGGGGGGGUUGAACAUGCUUUAAAAUUCAGCCUUACUUAAAUUAUUUUUUUAAAUUAUUUUGUUAUGCUUGUUUGAGAAUGAAGACAUAAACGUCAAGCGUGACUGUGUUCUGAGGUGUCUGAGCAUGUAUCUCAAUGAAGACUUGGAGACACUCAUCAAAGAAUACGUGGACUGUGAAAGUGAAGAGGCCGAGUCUGGGAUUGCACAGACAACAAUGGGCAUCUAUGUUAUUCGGGCCGAGGGUGCUGAUCCCGGAGAUGAGCCUGCAGACGUUGGUGUGGUUCUCGAAGGUUUGGCAGUCCUCCAAAACCUGCAGAGCAUCACACAUGGAUGUGUGAUGCUUUUGGGACUCAUUUAUGCCCUUAAUCUUAAUUACCCGAAAGACCUCAAAUGCACAUUUGAAGUAUUUCAGAAAAUUCUCAUGGAACUGGAUUCAGCCAAGCUUUCGCCAAAAGUCCAAGCGCUCAAGAUUAAAAUGCUUCAGUAACACAUAUACUCCCCAUCUAGGGUUUGACUUUUCCAUGUACCUGAGUGAACAUUGACACUUGUACAUUGCAGGACUACAUUUUCAACCUGUAAAACCUUUUGAAGUUUUUUUCUUGUGUAUUUGUAGUUUUAUUUUUAUGAAUGCCAAACAUGUAAACAUGCUUAAAAAGUGUUGCUUUUAAAGCCCCUCAGCCACUGAACUGUAUGGCACUUUUUGUGACCUCCAGAGACUCGUUUCAAAUAUUUUCAUGUCACAAAUGUGUGACUCUGUUAGUGUUAUGUAAGAAAUGUUAUUACUAAAUCGGGUGUGAUCUGAUCAUUGUUUACCUCAAGUUUUAUACUGUUUUGAAAAGCAGUUCGUAAGGACGUUUCUUGUUCUUUUUUUGCUGUUGAAUGUUCUUUCGAUACUAUUGCACUUAUCUGACAUGUUAACGUGCAUGCAAGUGUGCUGGUCCUGACCACUCAAACACUGAGACUUUUGGAUCUGUAUCUGGAUUUUUGGCAAUUUUCAAAGUUCUAAAGUUUUGAAGUUCCUGUAUGAUUAUGGAUGUUUAUGUAUGCCCAACAUGUUAACAUGCUUGCCCUAACAACGUGUCCUAACCAAUCAAGCAACUUUUUGUGACUCUAUUGUUUUACAAAUCUAUGACAUGCAUUUAAAAAAAAAAAAAAAAAAAAAAAAAAACUGUCAGUGUGAUAAAACUCUUUUAUACUGUUUUGAAAGUUCUUAAGAAAAUGAUAUAUAUAUAUAUAUAUAUAUAUAUAAUUUUUUUUUAUAAAUAUACCUUUGAUACUAUGGUGUUGCAAAACCACUCAUAAUCAGACUUUUUUCUUGACUACCACCAUUUCAUUUCAGAUGUCGUCACAGAUUUGUCAAAACGUUAGUAUAAGUAAUACUGUUGUCAUUGACUCAUAUGUAACUUGAUUUUUCUGUUUACACAAGUGUCCAAAGACAUUGAUUGUGACUACAGUGUUUAAAGUGGUGCAUUUAAGCUUGUUUUAUUUAUUUAUUUUUUCCCCUAAACAACAUAUGGGCACUGGCUAGAUUUAUUUGCUUUUUGAUCACUUUUUUUUUUUCUUUUUUCUUUUUUUUUUGUUACAUCUAAAAUGUGAAUGUCAAUAAAAAAAGUGAAACCA